CUUCAAUUCAUAUUCCACUUGUUGGAGUGUUUUCAUCAUUAUGACAUCAUUUGAUUCUCUCUACUAACUCAAGAAACAGGAAAGAAUACAUAAUGUUACUCCUAUUUUACAGAACUAGCUGUUUAAAUACAUGUUUGCUUUUCCCCAAUCAUAAGAACUGCUUAACACUCUAAAAGCACCAGGCCUGAGGCCAAGGUCCACUUCGUCUUGGUACAGGAAGAGCCGCAUUCCAUCUGUUCUGGCCUCGAGGAAGCUUGCACAAAUCUAUCUUCCCUUUGCGUGUCUUAUGAAACUCCAUGACCCUGUAUGAAAUCUAAUAGAGGAAUUCCAUUUCCACCGGUAGAGGAGUGUCCAUCAAUAGCUUGCUGAUCAAUGGCUCUCCCCUGAAGGAAGCAGAGAGAAACAGCCAGAUGAGAAAAUGGACAUACGGCAUAUAGGUUCUGAAAACAGUCCAAUUAUGCCACAUCUUGUGUACUUUGUUUUAAAUGAUGGUGGUGAUGAUAAGAAAAGGGGGUAAAAGGAGGUACAGAGAUAUGUUUAAGCUGAUUAUUGAAUUUAUAUUGCUUAUUCAAUGGGAAUGUUUAAGAAUCUG
Long non-coding RNA from Herpailurus yagouaroundi (jaguarundi), 592 nucleotides. RefSeq lists it as uncharacterized. The transcript is spliced from 2 exons. The record is from RefSeq and is a predicted model, not a curated record. NCBI's taxonomy places the organism in Eukaryota, Metazoa, Chordata, Mammalia, Carnivora, Felidae.